UACGUAGGGUGCAAGCGUUGUCCGGAAUUAUUUGGGCGUAAAGAGCUCGUAGGCGGUCUGUCGCGUCGGCUGUGAAAACUCGGGGCUCAACUCCGAGCUUUGCAGUCGAUACGGGCAGGCUAGAGUUUCGGCAGGGGGAGACUGGAAUUUCCUUGGUGUAGCGGUGAAAUGCGCAGAUAUCAGGAGGAACACCAACGGCGAAGGCAGCACUCUGGGCCGGUACUGACGCUGAGGAGCGAAAGCGUGGGGAGCGAACAGG
Molecule: ribosomal RNA, 259 nt
Filed under: uncultured bacterium
Lineage: Bacteria
Description: partial 16S ribosomal RNA
Rfam family: Bacterial small subunit ribosomal RNA
Source: RNAcentral